RNAcentral lists this unclassified non-coding RNA (349 nucleotides) under soil metagenome. RNAcentral describes it as "partial contains 5.8S ribosomal RNA, internal transcribed spacer 2, and large subunit ribosomal RNA". The stretch from base 1 to 120 matches the Rfam family "5.8S ribosomal RNA", at positions 35 to 154 of the family's 154-position model. The record is from RNAcentral.
GAUGAAGAACGCAGCGAAAUGCGAUACGUAAUGUGAAUUGCAGAUUUUAGUGAAUCAUCGAAUCUUUGAACGCACAUUGCGCCCGCCAGCACUCUGGCGGGCAUGCCUGUCCGAGCGUCAUUUCAACCCUCAGGGCCCCUUCGGGGGACCUGGCGUUGGGGAUCGGCCCGCCCCCGUGCGGCGCCGUCCCCGAAAUAUAGUGGCGGUCUCGCUGCAGCCUCCCCUGCGUAGUAGCACACCUCGCACUGGAGAGCGGCGCGGCCACGCCGUGAAACCCCCAACUUCUGAAUGUUGACCUCGGAUCAGGUAGGAAUACCCGCUGAACUUAAGCAUAUCAAUAAGCGGAGGA